Molecule: ribosomal RNA, 274 nt
Filed under: uncultured bacterium
Lineage: Bacteria
Description: partial 16S ribosomal RNA
Rfam family: Bacterial small subunit ribosomal RNA
Source: RNAcentral
UACAGAGGUCCCAAGCGUUGUUCGGAUUCACUGGGCGUAAAGGGUGCGUAGGUGGCCAGGUAAGUUUGGUGUGAAAGCUCGGAGCUUAACUCCGAAAAGUCAUUGAAUACUAUCUGGCUGGAGGGUCGGAGGGGAGACUGGAAUUCUCGGUGUAGCAGUGAAAUGCGUAGAUAUCGAGAGGAACACCAGUGGCGAAGGCGGUCUGCUGGGCAGUGGGAGCCGCAAGGUUCCUUUUAGCCGACACUGAGGCGCGACAGCGUGGGGAGCAAACAGG